GGGUUGUGAGGUUAAGCGACUAAGCGUACACGGUGGAUGCCCUGGCAGUCAGAGGCGAUGAAGGACGUGCUAAUCUGCGAUAAGCGUCGGUAAGGUGAUAUGAACCGUUAUAACCGGCGAUUUCCGAAUGGGGAAACCCAGUGUGUUUCGACACACUAUCAUUAACUGAAUCCAUAGGUUAAUGAGGCGAACCGGGGGAACUGAAACAUCUAAGUACCCCGAGGAAAAGAAAUCAACCGAGAUUCCCCCAGUAGCGGCGAGCGAACGGGGAGCAGCCCAGAGCCUGAAUCAGUGUGUGUGUUAGUGGAAGCGUCUGGAAAGGCGCGCGAUACAGGGUGACAGCCCCGUACACAAAAAUGCACAUGCUGUGAGCUCGAUGAGUAGGGCGGGACACGUGGUAUCCUGUCUGAAUAUGGGGGACCAUCCUCCAAGGCUAAAUACUCCUGACUGACCGAUAGUGAACCAGUACCGUGAGGGAAAGGCGAAAAGAACCCCGGCGAGGGGAGUGAAAAAGAACCUGAAACCGUGUACGUACAAGCAGUGGGAGCACGCUUAGGCGUGUGACUGCGUACCUUUUGUAUAAUGGGUCAGCGACUUAUAUUCUGUAGCAAGGUUAACCGAAUAGGGGAGCCGAAGGGAAACCGAGUCUUAACUGGGCGUUAAGUUGCAGGGUAUAGACCCGAAACCCGGUGAUCUAGCCAUGGGCAGGUUGAAGGUUGGGUAACACUAACUGGAGGACCGAACCGACUAAUGUUGAAAAAUUAGCGGAUGACUUGUGGCUGGGGGUGAAAGGCCAAUCAAACCGGGAGAUAGCUGGUUCUCCCCGAAAGCUAUUUAGGUAGCGCCUCGUGAAUUCAUCUCCGGGGGUAGAGCACUGUUUCGGCAAGGGGUCAUCCCGACUUACCAACCCGAUGCAAACUGCGAAUACCGGAGAAUGUUAUCACGGGAGACACACGGCGGGUGCUAACGUCCGUCGUGAAGAGGGAAACAACCCAGACCGCCAGCUAAGGUCCCAAAGUCAUGGUUAAGUGGGAAACGAUGUGGGAAGGCCCAGACAGCCAGGAUGUUGGCUUAGAAGCAGCCAUCAUUUAAAGAAAGCGUAAUAGCUCACUGGUCGAGUCGGCCUGCGCGGAAGAUGUAACGGGGCUAAACCAUGCACCGAAGCUGCGGCAGCGACGCUUAUGCGUUGUUGGGUAGGGGAGCGUUCUGUAAGCCUGUGAAGGUGUGCUGUGAGGCAUGCUGGAGGUAUCAGAAGUGCGAAUGCUGACAUAAGUAACGAUAAAGCGGGUGAAAAGCCCGCUCGCCGGAAGACCAAGGGUUCCUGUCCAACGUUAAUCGGGGCAGGGUGAGUCGACCCCUAAGGCGAGGCCGAAAGGCGUAGUCGAUGGGAAACAGGUUAAUAUUCCUGUACUUGGUGUUACUGCGAAGGGGGACGGAGAAGGCUAUGUUGGCCGGGCGACGGUUGUCCCGGUUUAAGCGUGUAGGCUGGUUUUCCAGGCAAAUCCGGAAAAUCAAGGCUGAGGCGUGAUGACGAGGCACUACGGUGCUGAAGCAACAAAUGCCCUGCUUCCAGGAAAAGCCUCUAAGCAUCAGGUAACAUCAAAUCGUACCCCAAACCGACACAGGUGGUCAGGUAGAGAAUACCAAGGCGCUUGAGAGAACUCGGGUGAAGGAACUAGGCAAAAUGGUGCCGUAACUUCGGGAGAAGGCACGCUGAUAUGUAGGUGAAGUCCCUCGCGGAUGGAGCUGAAAUCAGUCGAAGAUACCAGCUGGCUGCAACUGUUUAUUAAAAACACAGCACUGUGCAAACACGAAAGUGGACGUAUACGGUGUGACGCCUGCCCGGUGCCGGAAGGUUAAUUGAUGGGGUUAGCCGCAAGGCGAAGCUCUUGAUCGAAGCCCCGGUAAACGGCGGCCGUAACUAUAACGGUCCUAAGGUAGCGAAAUUCCUUGUCGGGUAAGUUCCGACCUGCACGAAUGGCGUAAUGAUGGCCAGGCUGUCUCCACCCGAGACUCAGUGAAAUUGAACUCGCUGUGAAGAUGCAGUGUACCCGCGGCAAGACGGAAAGACCCCGUGAACCUUUACUAUAGCUUGACACUGAACAUUGAGCCUUGAUGUGUAGGAUAGGUGGGAGGCUUAGAAGUGUGGACGCCAGUCUGCAUGGAGCCGACCUUGAAAUACCACCCUUUAAUGUUUGAUGUUCUAACGUUGACCCGUAAUCCGGGUUGCGGACAGUGUCUGGUGGGUAGUUUGACUGGGGCGGUCUCCUCCUAAAGAGUAACGGAGGAGCACGAAGGUUGGCUAAUCCUGGUCGGACAUCAGGAGGUUAGUGCAAUGGCAUAAGCCAGCUUGACUGCGAGCGUGACGGCGCGAGCAGGUGCGAAAGCAGGUCAUAGUGAUCCGGUGGUUCUGAAUGGAAGGGCCAUCGCUCAACGGAUAAAAGGUACUCCGGGGAUAACAGGCUGAUACCGCCCAAGAGUUCAUAUCGACGGCGGUGUUUGGCACCUCGAUGUCGGCUCAUCACAUCCUGGGGCUGAAGUAGGUCCCAAGGGUAUGGCUGUUCGCCAUUUAAAGUGGUACGCGAGCUGGGUUUAGAACGUCGUGAGACAGUUCGGUCCCUAUCUGCCGUGGGCGCUGGAGAACUGAGGGGGGCUGCUCCUAGUACGAGAGGACCGGAGUGGACGCAUCACUGGUGUUCGGGUUGUCAUGCCAAUGGCACUGCCCGGUAGCUAAAUGCGGAAGAGAUAAGUGCUGAAAGCAUCUAAGCACGAAACUUGCCCCGAGAUGAGUUCUCCCUGACUCCUUGAGAGUCCUGAAGGAACGUUGAAGACGACGACGUUGAUAGGCCGGGUGUGUAAGCGCAGCGAUGCGUUGAGCUAACCGGUACUAAUGAACCGUGAGGCUUAACCUUACAACGCCGAAGGUGUUU
Molecule: ribosomal RNA, 2930 nt
Filed under: Escherichia coli
Lineage: Bacteria; Pseudomonadati; Pseudomonadota; Gammaproteobacteria; Enterobacterales; Enterobacteriaceae
Description: bacterial LSU rRNA
Rfam family: Bacterial large subunit ribosomal RNA
Source: RNAcentral